UACAUGGGGUGCAAACGUUGCUCGGAAUUAUUGGGCGUAAAGCGCACGUAGGCGGUCCGUUAAGUCGGUUGUGAAAUCCCCCGGCUCAACCGGGGAAGUGCAUCCGAAACUGGCGGGCUAGAGUACGAAAGAGGGUCGCGGAAUUCCCGGUGUAGAGGUGAAAUUCGUAGAUAUCGGGAGGAACACCGGUGGCGAAGGCGGCGACCUGGGUCGAUACUGACGCUGAGGUGCGAAAGCGUGGGGAGCAAACAGG
RNAcentral lists this ribosomal RNA (253 nucleotides) under uncultured bacterium. Its description in RNAcentral is "partial 16S ribosomal RNA". It matches the Rfam family "Bacterial small subunit ribosomal RNA", at positions 524 to 776 of the family's 1533-position model. The record is from RNAcentral.